UGGAAAGGCGUGCGAUACAGGGUGACAGCCCCGUACACAAAAAUGCACAUAUUGUGAGCUCGAUGAGUAGGGCGGGACACGUGGUAUCCUGUCUGAAUAUGGGGGGACCAUCCUCCAAGGCUAAAUACUCCUGACUGACCGAUAGUGAACCAGUACCGUGAGGGAAAGGCGAAAAGAACCCCGGCGAGGGGAGUGAAAAAGAACCUGAAACCGUGUACGUACAAGCAGUGGGAGCCUCUUAAUGGGGUGACUGCGUACCUUUUGUAUAAUGGGUCAGCGACUUAUAUUCUGUAGCAAGGUUAACCGAAUAGGGGAGCCGAAGGGAAACCGAGUCUUAACUGGGCGUUAAGUUGCAGGGUAUAGACCCGAAACCCGGUGAUCUAGCCAUGGGCAGGUUGAAGGUUGGGUAACACUAACUGGAGGACCGAACCGACUAAUGUUGAAAAAUUAGCGGAUGACUUGUGGCUGGGGGUGAAAGGCCAAUCAAACCGGGAGAUAGCUGGUUCUCCCCGAAAGCUAUUUAGGUAGCGCCUCGUGAAUUCAUCUCCGGGGGUAGAGCACUGUUUCGGCAAGGGGGUCAUCCCGACUUACCAACCCGAUGCAAACUGCGAAUACCGGAGAAUGUUAUCACGGGAGACACACGGCGGGUGCUAACGUCCGUCGUGAAGAGGGAAACAACCCAGACCGCCAGCUAAGGUCCCAAAGUCAUGGUUAAGUGGGAAACGAUGUGGGAAGGCCCAGACAGCCAGGAUGUUGGCUUAGAAGCAGCCAUCAUUUAAAGAAAGCGUAAUAGCUCACUGGUCGAGUCGGCCUGCGCGGAAGAUGUAACGGGGCUAAACCAUGCACCGAAGCUGCGGCAGCGACACUAUGUGUUGUUGGGUAGGGGAGCGUUCUGUAAGCCUGUGAAGGUGGCCUGUGAGGGUUGCUGGAGGUAUCAGAAGUGCGAAUGCUGACAUAAGUAACGAUAAAGCGGGUGAAAAGCCCGCUCGCCGGAAGACCAAGGGUUCCUGUCCAACGUUAAUCGGGGCAGGGUGAGUCGACCCCUAAGGCGAGGCCGAAAGGCGUAGUCGAUGGGAAACAGGUUAAUAUUCCUGUACUUGGUGUUACUGCGAAGGGGGGACGGAGAAGGCUAUGUUGGCCGGGCGACGGUUGUCCCGGUUUAAGCGUGUAGGCUGGUUUUCCAGGCAAAUCCGGAAAACCAAGGCUGAGGCGUGAUGACGAGGCACUACGGUGCUGAAGCGACAAAUGCCCUGCUUCCAGGAAAAGCCUCUAAGCAUCAGGUAACAUCAAAUCGUACCCCAAACCGACACAGGUGGUCAGGUAGAGAAUACCAAGGCGCUUGAGAGAACUCGGGUGAAGGAACUAGGCAAAAUGGUGCCGUAACUUCGGGAGAAGGCACGCUGAUAUGUAGGUGAAGCGACUUGCUCGUGGAGCUGAAAUCAGUCGAAGAUACCAGCUGGCUGCAACUGUUUAUUAAAAACACAGCACUGUGCAAACACGAAAGUGGACGUAUACGGUGUGACGCCUGCCCGGUGCCGGAAG
RNAcentral lists this ribosomal RNA (1542 nucleotides) under Escherichia coli. RNAcentral's name for it is "partial 23S ribosomal RNA". It matches the Rfam family "Bacterial large subunit ribosomal RNA", at positions 343 to 1875 of the family's 2925-position model. The record is from RNAcentral. Lineage: Bacteria; Pseudomonadati; Pseudomonadota; Gammaproteobacteria; Enterobacterales; Enterobacteriaceae.